Molecule: ribosomal RNA, 273 nt
Filed under: uncultured bacterium
Lineage: Bacteria
Description: partial 16S ribosomal RNA
Rfam family: Bacterial small subunit ribosomal RNA
Source: RNAcentral
UACGAAGGGGGCUAGCGUUGCUCGGAAUCACUGGGCGUAAAGGGCGCGUAGGCGGCGUUUUAAGUCGGGGGUGAAAGCCUGUGGCUCAACCACAGAAUGGCCUUCGAUACUGGGACGCUUGAGUAUGGUAGAGGUUGGUGGAACUGCGAGUGUAGAGGUGAAAUUCGUAGAUAUUCGCAAGAACACCGGUGGCGAAGGCGGCCAACUGGACCAUUACUGACGCUGAGGCGCGAAAGCGUGGGGAGCAAACAGGAUUAGAUACCCCCGUAGUCC